GCCGUAAACGAUGGGCACUAGGUGUCGGGGUCGCAAGACUUCGGUGCCGCAGUUAACGCAUUAAGUGCUCCGCCUGGGGAGUACGCACGCAAGUGUGAAACUCAAAGGAAUUGACGGGGACCCGCACAAGCAGCGGAGCAUGUGGUUUAAUUCGAUGCAACGCGAAGAACCUUACCAAGGCUUGACAUGACCGAGAAUGCCCUAGAAACAUGGUCCUCCUUCGGGACGGGCGCACAGGUGGUGCAUGGCUGUCGUCAGCUCGUGUCGUGAGACGUU
This 276-nucleotide ribosomal RNA is filed under the name uncultured bacterium. Its description in RNAcentral is "partial 16S ribosomal RNA". It matches the Rfam family "Bacterial small subunit ribosomal RNA", at positions 799 to 1076 of the family's 1533-position model. The record is from RNAcentral.